Molecule: ribosomal RNA, 370 nt
Filed under: uncultured bacterium
Lineage: Bacteria
Description: bacterial SSU rRNA
Rfam family: Bacterial small subunit ribosomal RNA
Source: RNAcentral
GCGUAACGCGUGAGCGACAUGCCCGUUGCCCGGGGACAACCGGUGGAAACGCCGACUAAUCCCCGAUGGGAUAUUGUGCCGCAUGGCACGAUAUUGAAAGUUACGGCGGCGACGGAUUGGCUCGCGUCCGAUUAGCUUGUUGGCGGGGUAACGGCCCACCAAGGCUACGAUCGGUAGGGGUUCUGAGAGGAAGGCCCCCCACAAUGGGACUGAGACACGGCCCAUACUCCUACGGGAGGCAGCAGUGAGGAAUAUUGGUCAAUGGGCGGAAGCCUGAACCAGCCAUGCCGCGUGCGGGAAGGAGGCCCUAUGGGCUGUGAACCGCUUUUGCCUGGGGGCAAUAAGGGCGUCGCGCACGCCCGAUGAGAGU